Molecule: long non-coding RNA, 502 nt
Organism: Dendrobium catenatum
Lineage: Eukaryota; Viridiplantae; Streptophyta; Magnoliopsida; Asparagales; Orchidaceae
Exons: 3
Source: RefSeq, a predicted model, not a curated record
UAGAACUGAGAAGAACUUCACGUGAAGAAGAAGAUGAAGAAGAAGAAGACAGGCAAAAGCACUCGGCAGGAAUUCUGAAUGUUCCAUUGCUCUUUUACUUUCAAGCAACCAGAAAAGACAGAGUUUUGGCAGGGAAAUAUCAUCUCUUCCUCCUCUUAGAAGUUUCCAGCGGCAGAAAAACUUUAGCUUUGGUUCCAAAUUUAUGCGCGCAAUUAGGGAUUUUUCAGAGGAUAGUUUCAGAGAAGAGUAGGAAUCAUGAGCUUGAAGAGUAGAGAAAUAGGAGGAGAGGCUUCACCGAGGAGUAUGGUUUCCAAAAAAUGGACCUUUCUUCUUUGCCUUGGAAGCUUCUGCGCUGGGCUGCUCUUCACAAAUAGGGAUUUUUCUAGGAAUCUCUUAAAGAAGAUAUUAACUGUAGCUCCAUAAGCCAAUCUUGAGGAUUUGUUUUGAUGUUUGAGGGAUUUAAAGUGGUAAAGAAGCAAAAUACAUGAUAAUUACACUCUUA